Molecule: transfer RNA, 90 nt
Filed under: Pseudomonadota bacterium
Lineage: Bacteria; Pseudomonadati; Pseudomonadota
Also listed under: 2 other names
Description: tRNA-Ser
Rfam family: tRNA
About the family: Transfer RNA (tRNA) molecules are approximately 80 nucleotides in length. Their secondary structure includes four short double-helical elements and three loops (D, anti-codon, and T loops).
Source: RNAcentral
GGAGAGGUGGCAGAGUGGUCGAAUGCACCGCACUCGAAAUGCGGCAUACGGGCAACCGUAUCCAGGGUUCGAAUCCCUGCCUCUCCGCCA